This 230-nucleotide long non-coding RNA is filed under the name Arachis ipaensis. RNAcentral's name for it is "long non-coding RNA (AIPA_LNC001566)". Lineage: Eukaryota; Viridiplantae; Streptophyta; Magnoliopsida; Fabales; Fabaceae. The record is from RNAcentral.
AUUUUGAUCUUGAACUUGAAAGGAAUCUGAGGCGGCACUUGCAAUAAGCUAGACUUUACAAGGCUAGUGAAAAUUUGAGUGAGACUUUUGAAAAGGAAGCUGCAGAGUCCACUAUGGAUCAUAGUUGUGUUGUUAAUGCCAAUGUGGCAAAUCUGAAUGAGAAUGAACAACCUAGAAGACUACUUGGCUCAUACACUGCCCCCAAUGCAGAUCUUUAUGGAAAAAGUAUU